Long non-coding RNA from Bos taurus (domestic cattle), 393 nucleotides. NCBI's taxonomy places the organism in Eukaryota, Metazoa, Chordata, Mammalia, Artiodactyla, Bovidae. The record is from Ensembl.
CAAAAUUCCACUGACGAAGCAACAGAGGAGGUGCUCGGCGCCCGGGUGCACCCGGUGGAGGCUGGGGUGGGGUCCAUCCCACAGCCAGAUGAGGGCACCUGAGGCCUACCAUAAGCAUACAAGAGGACACAGAGGCAGAGGGCUCUGAGGAAACAGACAGCACCUUACGACGCAGAUGGAGAGAUGGCCACGUGGCAUAUGAUGUCUUAGUACCCCAACCAGGGAUCAAACCCCUUGCUGUGGGAUGGUGGCGUCUUAAGCACUGGACCACGGAGAUGGCCCAGGUUGGAUCCCUGAUCAUGGAACUAGAUCCAUACGCCACAAAUAAGAGUUCACGUGUUGCUCCUAAAGAUCCUGCACAGGGCAACAAAGAUCAAAGACACCGCCACUAAG